CCAGGUCCAUGGCGGACGACUUCGCCGCGUCCACGCUGCCCCCGCUGAUGGACGUGUCCGGCGGCAGCGGCGGCAACAUGUCACUUUCAGCGGCGGCGGCGGCUGCGGCGUCCAUCGAGCUGACGACGCCACCGGCACCACACGUGACCUGCUUCUCCAACACGCUGGAGGGCCACUUCCUGACCCCACCAACCUGCCUCCUCCCCUCCGCCGCCGCCACCGCCUCGCCGUUCCUGGCGAGCAUGGCGCAGUACGACGGCGACGCGGGCGUGGGCGGCAUGGUGCACGAGCUCCUGCAGGAGGCCGGCGGGUGGUACAGCAAGCUGGGCGAGAGGGAGCGGC
This 342-nucleotide long non-coding RNA is filed under the name Sorghum bicolor (sorghum). RNAcentral's name for it is "long non-coding RNA (SBIC_LNC007257)". Lineage: Eukaryota; Viridiplantae; Streptophyta; Magnoliopsida; Poales; Poaceae. The record is from RNAcentral.